AGAGUUUGAUCAUGGCUCAGGACGAACGCUGGCGGCGUGCCUAAUACAUGCAAGUCGAGCGAAUUUACGAGAGCUUGCUCUCGUAAAUUAGCGGCGGACGGGUGAGUAACACGUGGGCAACCUGCCUAUAAGACUGGGAUAACUUCGGGAAACCGGAGCUAAUACCGGAUAAUUCACAUCUACUCAUGUAGAUGUGCUGAAAGACGGUUUACGCUGUCACUUAUAGAUGGGCCCGCGGCGCAUUAGCUAGUUGGUGAGGUAACGGCUCACCAAGGCCACGAUGCGUAGCCGACCUGAGAGGGUGAUCGGCCACACUGGGACUGAGACACGGCCCAGACUCCUACGGGAGGCGGCAGUAGGGAAUCUUCCGCAAUGGACGAAAGUCUGACGGAGCAACGCCGCGUGAGUGAUGAAGGUUUUCGGAUCGUAAAACUCUGUUGUUAGGGAAGAACAAGUACCAGAGUAACUGCUGGUACCUUGACGGUACCUAACCAGAAGUC
This 500-nucleotide ribosomal RNA is filed under the name uncultured Bacillaceae bacterium. RNAcentral's name for it is "bacterial SSU rRNA". It matches the Rfam family "Bacterial small subunit ribosomal RNA", at positions 8 to 491 of the family's 1533-position model. Lineage: Bacteria; Bacillati; Bacillota; Bacilli; Caryophanales; Bacillaceae. The record is from RNAcentral.